RNAcentral lists this long non-coding RNA (612 nucleotides) under Cyanistes caeruleus (blue tit). RNAcentral's name for it is "lncRNA (ENSCCEG00000019832.1)". The record is from RNAcentral. Lineage: Eukaryota; Metazoa; Chordata; Aves; Passeriformes; Paridae.
GGUUGCUGUCCAGGCAAAUUCAGUUCUGCUGUGCUCUCUGCCUUUCUAAGGAUGCAGAGAAGUACACCAGGUCCCCUGGAAAGGCUGCUGUGAAGCACAGGACAAGGACUCUGCCUCAGAGCAUCCCUGUGUACUUAAAUGUUCCAAGCUCCUGUGUAACUGGCUGUAUGAAUAUGAGUAAAUUGCUUCUUGAAAUAGGAAGUGCUGUUUCCUUUCAUCUGUUGAGGUGCAAUCCAAAGGCCAAAUCUCCACCCAUUCUGAACGUAACAUUCCUUUGGCUGUAUCUUAUAAAAGCUGAGGUUGUGCUGGAAGAGACCAAGGCACUCCUUCAGCCUCCUCAGAAACAUCUAGUCGGAAGGAUGAAGCUCCUGGCACUUUGUGGCUUUUUGUUUGUCUGUCUUCUGUGCCUCAGUGCCUUUGCUGCAGAAGGUCAGAAGGUUAGAAGACUCUGCUGCUCAAAAGUACACAAACUCAAGAAAAAAACACAUAGAGGUAUAAGUUUUCAAAUGACUCAAAUGGAAAAAAAGAAACACUGCAGGCCUUGUCCUCAGCAAAUCUCUUCAGUGAUUCCUGGUCCACUUCCACAGCUAAAAUGAGCAGACUGAGAGGAAG